CUUUUCGGCCGCGGCGCGUGACUGGGCUUGGUGGAGUUUCAAGAUGCUGAUGAACUUAAGGUCUGGCGCUUGAAAGAAUCAGUGAAGCUUUUCAAGUAGAGGAGGUUCUAGAUGAAUGACUGAUGAAGACACAACAGCACGGUGGUGAGGCCAUUGAAUGCUUCUAAGACUGCACUUGGCAACAUCACAAGCUGCAGAAUCCCGUGCCACAUAUGACCUGCUGUUCACCGGUUCUUGCCAGGAUCACACCUGAGAAGAGGAAGAUAAUGGAGAUGGAAGACUUGGGAUGCUCAGGGUCCUGCUAGCCUUCAAACUGCAGGACUCUGAGCAUCCCAAGUCUUACCAUGAGUUGCUAAAAGAGAACCAGACCCAUGUUUAUCCCUUUGAAAGAAACCUGAACCAAGCCAUUCCUCUGGACUGUUCUUCCAUCCACUGGACCAAUAACUCAUAGUUUGAAGGAUUUUUACUUAAUGGAAGUGAGAAAACAGCCAGAUCAAAAGAAUUUCCAGGAGCCAAGACAGAAAACAUGCAGAGCAUUAGACAGCCUAAAUGGAGCUGGCUAGAUAUGACUCCAGUUGUGACCAAGCCAUAGUGCCCCCUAAGCUGGGUGAAGAGAACGGUGCCCAUCAGGCCAGAGAGAGCUGAAAGGGCCGUGAGGAUGCUAAGCAGGGAGUCUCCAACCCCCUGGGUACAGGCAUAGCCAGUGAUGAUGCCGCCAGACCCCAGAACUGUCAUGUAGAGGAAGACCAAGCACAAGCCAGCUAAGAAGACCAUCUGCCUGCAGUAGGCUUCCCAUCCCUCAUGGCACAUGCAGAGCAGCCUUUGCAUGUUUUAAAGGUGAAAAGGAGGCCGGGCGCAGUGGCUCAUGCCUAUAAUCCCAGCACUUUGGGAGGCCGAGGCAGACGGAUCACGAGGUCAGGAGAUCGAGGCCAUCCUGGCUAACACGGUGAAACCCCGUCUCUACUAAAAAUACAAAACAUCAGCCGGGCAUGGUGGUGGGCGCCUGUAUUCCCAGCUACUCGAGAGGCUGAGGCGGGACAAUGGCGUGAAUCCGGGAGGCGGAGCUUGCAGUGAGUCGAGAUCGCGCCACUGCACUCCAGCCUGGGUGACAGAGCGAGACUCUGUCUCAAAAAAAAAAAAAAAAAAAAAAGGUGAAAAGGAAAA
Molecule: long non-coding RNA, 1164 nt
Filed under: Homo sapiens (human)
Lineage: Eukaryota; Metazoa; Chordata; Mammalia; Primates; Hominidae
Description: small nucleolar RNA host gene 26
Source: RNAcentral